RNAcentral lists this ribosomal RNA (584 nucleotides) under Sarcocystis fayeri. RNAcentral describes it as "SSU rRNA". It matches the Rfam family "Eukaryotic small subunit ribosomal RNA", at positions 469 to 1030 of the family's 1831-position model. Lineage: Eukaryota; Apicomplexa; Conoidasida; Eucoccidiorida; Sarcocystidae. The record is from RNAcentral.
GACAAGAAAUAACAACACUGGAAAUUUCAUUUCUAGUGAUUGGAAUGAUGGGAAUCCAAACCCCUUUCAGAGUAACAAUUGGAGGGCAAGUCUGGUGCCAGCAGCCGCGGUAAUUCCAGCUCCAAUAGCGUAUAUUAAAGUUGUUGCAGUUAAAAAGCUCGUAGUUGGAUAUCUGCUGGGAGCAAUCAGUCCGCCCUUUUUAUAGGGGUGUGCACUUGAUGAAUUCUGGCAUGUUUUUAUCUUUCCUAAUGAUAAUGAUUAGGUUAAUUCCUAAUAAUAAUUAUUAUUGGGAUAGAUAGACCGUUACUUUGAGAAAAUUAGAGUGUUUAAUGCAGGCUGUUUUAUGCCUUGAAUACUGCAGCAUGGAAUAACAAUAUAGGAUUUCGGUUCUAUUUUGUUGGUUUUUAGGACUGGAAUAAUGGUUAAUAGGGACAGUUGGGGGCAUUCGUAUUUAACUGUCAGAGGUGAAAUUCUUAGAUUUGUUAAAGACGAACUAAUGCGAAAGCAUUUGCCAAAGAUGUUUUCAUUAAUCAAGAACGAAAGUUAGGGGCUCGAAGACGAUCAGAUACCGUCGUAGUCUUAAC